This 218-nucleotide long non-coding RNA is filed under the name Elaeis guineensis (African oil palm). Its description in RNAcentral is "long non-coding RNA (EGUI_LNC080460)". The record is from RNAcentral. Lineage: Eukaryota; Viridiplantae; Streptophyta; Magnoliopsida; Arecales; Arecaceae.
GCAAAUUCUAAAUCCAAAUGAAUUUUAAUUUUAAAUGCCAAACUCUUUUCAAAUUUUAUAGAAUAUUGCUAAAUAAGCUAGGAAUAAUAUUAAGUAUGGAUCAAUCGAUCAAUAUCCAUAUUUAUCUUAUAAUUAAUUAAAAAUUUUAUAUCCAUACCAUUUAGUAUCUGCCUUGGAUCAGAUCAGAUUGAAUUGGAUCAACUCGAUAAAAGAGGAAG